This 459-nucleotide ribosomal RNA is filed under the name uncultured bacterium. RNAcentral's name for it is "partial 16S ribosomal RNA". It matches the Rfam family "Bacterial small subunit ribosomal RNA", at positions 338 to 795 of the family's 1533-position model. The record is from RNAcentral.
CCUACGGGAGGCAGCAGUGAGGAAUAUUGGUCAAUGGCCGGAAGGCUGAACCAGCCAAGCCGCGUGAAGGACGAAGGUGCCAAGCAUUGUAAACUUCUUUUGUCAAGGGACAAAAUCAGGCUCGAGAGCCUGACAGAGGGUACUUGAAGAAAAAGCAUCGGCUAACUCCGUGCCAGCAGCCGCGGUAAUAGGGAGGAUGCGAGCGUUACCCGGUUUUAUUGGGUUUAAGGGGUGCGUAGGGGGGCUGUUAAGUCAGCGGUAAAAGCCCGGCGCUCACCCCCGGCGAGCCGUUGAAACUGGCUGUCUUGAGAUGUCGAGAGGUAUGCGGAAUGCGCAGUGUAGCGGUGAAAUGCUUAGAUAUUGCGCAGAACACCGAUUGCGAAGGCAGCAUACCGGCGGCGAUCUGACGGUGAGGCGCGAAAGCGUGGGUAGCGAACAGGAUUAGAUACCCUUGUAGUC